CACGCGUGUGAGCCUCUGUAUGAGACUGCUUCACUGAUGGGGGAUGAAAGGGAUGCGAAUGUCAGAGGAUCCUGGGACUGAAUGUGGCUGCAGGUGGGGUGAACUGCUCAGGGCAGCAGUGGCAGUGAGGGCUGCUGCCUCAUGUAAACACUGCAUCCCCAGAGCUCAGAGCGAGAGGUUCUGUGCUCCUGGGCUGCCACCGCGGGGCUGUGAGCAGCUCCAUCCAGAGCAAGCCCAGACUGGAGAGGUUCAUUUAUGACAUCAUCAGCCAUCUCCUCAUGAAGUAAUCAGCUAAAGAAAUAAGACUGGGCAGAUGAAAACCUAGGAAGGCUGAAGAAGUAAUUCCAGCACAGGCUGACUUCAGAGAAAUGCCUCCCAGAUAGCAGAGUGCAGAAUAGCUAAACAGUACCGAGAAGACACAAGGCAGAAUUAUUAUCAUCAGAGCAAACUUCUCCUGGCCAGACAUGCCCAGCUGAGGAGCACUGGAGGAUUUCAGUGAGGUGUCCUUGGUGCAGGGAAAUUUACAGGCUCUUCUUGCAAAAACUCCUCUCACCCAACUCUCCAAAAUCAUAUCAAGUCUAAUAUCUUUGGGGCCAAUGAUGCACCAGGUUUGCUGCAUUACAUCACCGGCACCCGGCUCCAUUGGCUGCUCCCAUCCCGAGGACAAGACAUUCCUCCUCGUACCUUUCCAAAGCUGCUGCUUCUCAGGAAUUAACUCUUCGAGGGGUGUCACCUGGGGACAGCCUGGGUUCUUGACUGAGAAACCCACACGUAUUUGAUAUAAGGGGUUUUCAAACUCCAAAGGAACAGCCACGUCUCCUCAGUUUAUUCUUGAACCUUCACUGCAGAAAAUGAACUAUACAUUUGCCUUCCUUCGGGAAAAAAAUAAGAAAGCUGUCAGUGGCAUUGUAAAAAGCAGAGUAGUCUAAAUCAGGAGCGCUCUGCAGCCUGACUAAAUCAGGAACUUCUUAGGGAAGGAGAAGGGCUGCUGCAGCAUAAGGAGCCAUUCCUCUAACUGGUUAACUGGAUUCGUCGGUGGCGCUGAAAGAAAAGGCGCUGCAGAUGCAGGUUAGCUCUGCCUUGCUGCAUUCGCAUUGCUCUGUUUCAGCUCCCAUCCAAAAAUAGCCGAUGGGCUUAGAUGAUGGUGCAGGAAAAAGAGUGGGGUUCAUCCCUGUGUGCACGUAAUUUGUGUCGGUGUGUUCUUUCCCCUUCCCAAAUUUCCAGUGUGCCUGGUGUGAGAAAUCAG
This 1246-nucleotide long non-coding RNA is filed under the name Gallus gallus (chicken). RNAcentral describes it as "long non-coding RNA NONGGAT004787". Lineage: Eukaryota; Metazoa; Chordata; Aves; Galliformes; Phasianidae. The record is from RNAcentral.